CAGCUACUCAGGAGGCUGAGACGGGCGGAUCGCGAGGUCAGGAGAUCGAGACCAUCCUGGCUAACACAGUGAAACCGCGUCUCUACUAAAAAUACAAAAAAAAAAAAAAAAAAUAGCCAGACGUGGUGGCAGGAGACUGUAGUCCCAGCUACUCAGGAGGCUGAGGCAGGAGAAUGGCAUGAACCCGAGAGGCAGAGCUUGCAGUGAGCCAAGAUCGCGCCACUGCACUCCAGCCUGGGCGACGGAGUGAGACUCCGCCUCAAAAAAAAAAAAAAAAAAAGAAUAGAUGUCCAAAAUAUAUUGUCGAGAGAAAAAAAGCAAGGUACAAAACAAUAUAUCGAGUAAAGCUACCUUUGAAUAAGAAGAAAAACUAAUGGUAACACGCUGGGGACUGGAGGGACUAGAUAAAUGGAAACAAAAAUGGAUUAAUACCUGUCAGUGUUUUUGAAAUGGAAUUUUAGUUAGUUUGUGGGGACUUUAUUUUUAUUUUUUAAAGAAACAGGGUAUCACUCUAUCACCCAGGCUGGAGUGCGAUGGUGCAAUCAUGG
RNAcentral lists this long non-coding RNA (548 nucleotides) under Homo sapiens (human). RNAcentral's name for it is "HSALNT0362695". Lineage: Eukaryota; Metazoa; Chordata; Mammalia; Primates; Hominidae. The record is from RNAcentral.